This is a long non-coding RNA of Rosa chinensis, 4573 nucleotides long. RefSeq lists it as uncharacterized. The transcript has 3 exons. NCBI's taxonomy places the organism in Eukaryota, Viridiplantae, Streptophyta, Magnoliopsida, Rosales, Rosaceae. The record is from RefSeq and is a predicted model, not a curated record.
UGGUCCACAUUCUCUGGGCUUUUCUACCCAGCCCAUCCCAGACCUCCUUUAAAUUCUUGAUCCCGCAGAGACAGGGCUGUCUUCUUCCGCGGUAGCUGCUGUGACUUGUGUGUCCUCAUCUCUUCCCACUCAGCCAGGAAAGAUGGUUUUGACAGAAGAAGAAAUUAUGAGGCUCUAUAGGGUUCGAAAAACAGUGAUGCAAAUGCUGAAAGAUCGGGACUAUCUGAUUGUUGAUCAUGAUCUCAACAUGACAAUGUCGCAGUUUAAAAACAAACAUGGAGAGAACAUGAAAAGGGAGGACCUUCCUAUCAAUACAAGGAAGAGAGGUGACGAGUCUGAUCAGGUAUUUGAUUUGGGCAUGAAUCAGGAGAAUGUGAUUAGAGCAAUCUAAUUAGUUGCUCAACAAAAUCUGACUCCUUUUGCAAAGACCUCCAUUAGUGAGAUGGGUUCAAAGUACCACUUGGGAGAUUUUCCAGGUGAAGUUUAAUUGUUUAAAUUUUUUUUAGAAUGAAGUUUUGUUCUUGAAAUAUUGUGAUUGUUAUGAUAGUCUAUUACCUUACAUAUUGGAAACUUAAGGUACCAGAAACUUAGUAUCAGAAAUAUGAAAACUAUACGCAGAUAGGUCUAUGCUGAAUAAUUGGACCGUUAAUAACCAACGACUUAUGCGUUCGAGAGCUUAGUUUAUCUCUAUUCUAAUGCCGUUUUUGAUUCACAAGUAAUGUGAUUGAAUGCACUUAAUAGCAUAUUGUCAUUCUGACACUUAAAAGUGACAAUUUGGAUGCAUAGGGUUAUCUGAUAACGCUAGUUAAUAGAGAUGACCAACUGACAGACGCAUCAAACUUUAACUAGGCCUGUCUUGGGUUCCAAGUGAAGUCGAGAAAGAUGUUCUUAUUGCUAUCUAAUGCGGCAUAUCUGUGUGGUGUUUGCACAUUGGGAGAACAAAAUAACAAUCGGCUUCUUCCACUUUGAGCUUCUUUGCGUAAACUGCUUUGUGCUUCUUCCAUUUGGCUCUGGAUGAAGGCAUUGCCCUGGAAUUCAACUAGGCCUAACUGUUGUCCAGUUAGUGCUGUUACAACUUGUGCAUUGUUUUGAUUGGGAACUUCCAGAAAACAUGUCACCGAAUGAUUUGGACGUGAUGGAAGAAUUUGGAAUAACAGUUCCUAGGGCCAGGAAUCUACUGGCAAUUCCGUCAUUCGCCUUCACAAAUGAUCACAAUGUGUAUGUAAUGGCUAGUUCCCACUUGUGGCGGGAUUAUCUUAAUGUUCUGUUUCUCUAUUCUAUGUGAUCACUAUUGUAGCAUCUUGUGUUUGCUUUCUUUUGGAUACGGGAAAGCAGUAAUGAAGUAAUAUGGUGUAAUACAGUUAAAUUUAGGAGGGCUGUUUUCAUCUUUGUUGAAUGGUGUCAAUGGGUAUGUUUAGAGGUUUGCUGAGUUUUUGUUCCCACUGUAAAUUGGUUUAAUUAGAUAGAUUUUCGAAACUAUUAUCCAGAAUAAAGUUCUCUAUCUUUUUGGCAUGUAGUGAGGGAAAAUCUGCAAGUGCAUUUUGAAGUGAGAAGGCUGCCUGGUGGUUUGGGAUACUUCAUUUGCCGGCAGAGGUGAGUCUCCUACUACAGAUUUAUUGUGAACUUUUUGUUCCUCCCUGAAUUUUGUUAGUUUUGGUAGUUUACAUUUUCUUAUUUUUAGAUGUUUUAAAUAUAUUUCUCUGGUUCAGGGAAACCAAAAGGUUAAGUUGAGAGUUCAAUAGAAUUAUAUGAGUCCUGGGACUUUUCAAAAAUGUAUAUAUGCAGGACUGUAAGAGUUUUGUAGAAAUAUAACUGCAUGCUAGAACAAUUGAAAAGUUUAUAUCAUGAUUAGCUUUAGGGUUUACACUUAACAGUAGUCCUCGACUGCUGGAACAAUUUGUCAAUCGGUAUGGAUGUGUGACAUCCCUGUCUAAACCCAGGUUGGAGGAAUUUUCCAGGUUUCGCAUUUAGAACCACUGAGAUAGACACUUUAGUUAUGCAGCAGGUAAUUAGUCGAAACCAACCAGCAUCAAAACCCGUCUUAGUACGCCAAUCUCAAAUCUUGGUUCAUUUAGUUAACUUUAGGUUAUACACCUCACAUUAAGAACAGCACCUCAAUUUCUAGGGACCAUCUGCAGAGAACAUCUAAUUUAAGUGGUGGUGAUCAAGUGAAAGAACCUCGUCUUAGCAUCACCAGUAGUUAAGUAGCACACUAUAGGUCUUUCCAUCCAAUGCUGUUCUUCAUUCUUACAGAGUCAAGAGACCAAGAGUAUUCAUGUUUUGGUGAUCAAGAGAAUCAUAGAGAAUCUAUGUUCUGGAUCUAAUUCAGCUUCGAUAUUUGACAGCUCACUUGUUCUUCUAAGCUAACAAAGUAUCUUUGGACUGUGAAAAGCAAGUACAAGGAAACCCUGGUACUCGCACAUAUGGGUGCAAUGCAGCCCUUAUUGUAUUAGGUGACUGACCAAUAGUAACAGAGCUUCUGUGUAAACUCAACUUUUUGUACCGAAUUAUUAUUACUUCAUUAGUGAUGGGCUCGUCUGUUGGAUCCAAAUUGCAUUAUUGUAAAAUUUUAUGUUCACAAUUUCAAAUUGCAUUAUUGUAGUUGUUGUAGUAAGUGACUUCAUAUACAAUGAAGGGAUAUCAAUCUCUUGGUCUGAAAUCAAGAAAGGCACCAGACGAAAUGGUGCUUCAGGUAUCUUGGCAUUGAGUUUUGAUGACUUACCAUCCCACUUAAAUCUGUGCUUUCUAUAUUAGCCCAAUUUCCAAAAGAUUAUGAAAUACCGGUGAAAAGGUUGACUCAAUUAUGGACUGCAGAAGAUAUUAUAUCCUCGAGAAAUGCAUGGUUCAGUGGAGACAAUGGAAGAUGUAUCGUAUAGUCUCCUGAUCAAUUGAAUUGGUGGAGAGGUGCAUAGUUCAAGUUGUUAAACCUGGUUUAAAUGGGAAGGUUAAAAACUUGCCGACUCCAUGAUAUUAUGCAAGACUUGUCCUUGUUAAAGGCUAUAGAGUAGAAUUUUCUCCAUGUUCGUUGAUUUUUCAUCUGCAGACUCAGAAACCAUGGCACCAAUAACAGGUAGGGUCAGAACCUUCGGUCUCUGUUAUACUUUUUAUCCAUAAAUGGACCAGAAAGUUGUUACCAUCACAUUUCAAGGAAUUCAAAUUGCUUUGAGUUUUGAAGUUGGAACAAAUGGAGGGAAAGGUAAAGUUACUGAGUGCUAUUGGGAUUCUAGUUCACUUGAGGUUUUCAAGUCUAAAGAAUAGUGUGAGGGAACCCUUGCCAUCAUCAAUAGCUAAUUUGGUAUGUCUGCAAACUCUAUACUUACAUGUGUGCGGGGUGUGUUUGGGAAUAUGAAGCAACUGGGGAAUUUGUUAUUACCGCAAGAUCAUUUACAAAGCGAAAAAUUGUCAUUCUCUAAUCUUGGCAAUUGGAAUCAUCAAGAGGUUGAACAUUUGGAGGAAAUCCUGAAAUCAAGAAGAAUCACAUUUAACCAACUUCGAUCUCUAUCACUGGAUGUGCAAAACGGUGAAGGGAUGUGCCAAUGGAUAUAAUAUUAAAUCUAUACAAGCUCCAGUUGACCAGGGGAAUCACAAAGUUACUGGAAGACCUGUUGUGCUUUCCAAACCUCACCAAGAUAAUCCUGAAGGGAACUGAGGUUGAGGAGAACCACCAAUUAGACAUUUUACAGAAGCUCCAAAACUUUAGAGUGCUUACCCUUGGAGUUAGUACUUUUGAGUUGGAGACAAUGAUUUUCUCAGAAUGAGGCUUUCCUUGUCUUGAAUGUCUUACCCUUGAUAAAUUGAUCUUAAAUGAGUUGAGGUUGGAGAAGGGAGCCAUGCCUAGUGAACAUUGAAGUUUUAUCAUUGCAAAAAAAGGAGGGAAGUACCAGAGGGGCCUGAUAUAUAUUACUACCCUCAAGGAACUAAGCAUCAACUAUGUACAGUGAAAUCUGCAGUAGACUUGUUGAAGGAGGAGAGGAGUUUGAAAAGAUCAAACAUGUGCCUUCUGUUGUAUUCACAAAUAUUUAAACCAAAAAACAAAGCUCGACCUUCUGGUAUUCGAAAGGCUGCAGCAAAGGAACAACAAGUUUUGUUUGAUCUCAGCUCCAAGGUGUUGUAUCUCAGUGCAGACAUGAGUUACAGAGUGGUGUUUGGAAAGAAGUAUAUGGAUGAGGAGUUUAACGAGAGGGGUUUCAAUAGUCUGUGAUUCAAUGCUUGCAAUUGAAUAGCAAAUGUAGUGGGAAUGGAGAGGAUGGUGGAGUAACCAGACUUGGAGAAGUUGGAGAUACCCAAAAGUGUAUUGGCAAAUUGGGAGAGACCCUAAUGCUUGAAUUGGACAUCAUGGGGAGGAGUUUGGAAUCUCGGUUCCAAGGGCCAAGCAUCUAGUAGCUAUUCCAUCAUAUCACCUUCACAAACGAUUAUAAUGCGUAUGUAAUGUUUACUUUCCUACUUGUGGAUUAUCUUGAUUUUCUGCUUUUCUAUUAUACAUUAUCACUCUUUUUUUUCCCUUUCUUUUGUAAAGAAGAAGCUAAUUAAUAUAUUGGUUUAAAUAAGAUUGGGAGAGAACGAGGGAUGUUUA